This 73-nucleotide transfer RNA is filed under the name bacterium. RNAcentral describes it as "tRNA-Ala". It matches the Rfam family "tRNA". Rfam says of the family: Transfer RNA (tRNA) molecules are approximately 80 nucleotides in length. RNAcentral also lists the same sequence under 2 other names. The record is from RNAcentral.
GGGGCCAUAGCUCAGUUGGGAGAGCGCCUGCUUUGCAAGCAGGAGGUCGGCGGUUCGAUUCCGCCUGGCUCCA